Molecule: long non-coding RNA, 3232 nt
Filed under: Mytilus galloprovincialis (Mediterranean mussel)
Lineage: Eukaryota; Metazoa; Mollusca; Bivalvia; Mytilida; Mytilidae
Source: RNAcentral
ACAGUUCUUAAAAGCAAACUGCAGAAUGAAUCAAGUUUUGCAAAAUGCUCUUAUAGUCAUGUUGGUUGUGGCAAUGCUGUGGACAUAUGUGGCACAGGCACAAUAUGAAGCAGAUUGGGAUGGUGAUGAAGGAUAAAUGGUUUGUUUUUAUUAAUUAUAUUUUAAAAUAGGUUUAAGAUUGUCAAGAUCACUCAGUAACCUUAAAAUGUGAUCAUAGGAGACGACCGAGAGUUAUUGUGAUAGAAACUUAUUAAUUUGGCUCGUGUAAUUGUCGUAAAAUUAUUUACGUUAACCCUUUGACAAAAAUAUGAAAAUUUCAAAAAAUUUGAACCAACCAAUUUAUCAGAAAAAUUACACUGGUUAUAUAGCAGAUUGAUAAAAAAAAUUUUGGUCAUUGAGAAGCCUAAUAUUUCCUUAACAACACAGCGUAAUUAAUAGUUAUCGAAAGUACCAGGAUUAUAUAAUUUAGUACGCCAGACGCGCAUUUCGUCUACAUAAGACUCAUCAGUGACGCUCAAAUCGAAAUAUUUAUAAAGCCAAACAAGUACAAAGUUGAAGAGCAUUGAUGAUCCAAAAUUCCAAAAAGAUUGCGCCCAAUGCGGCUAAGGUAACCUAUGUCUUAAAUAAGAAAAUCCUUAGUUUUUCGAAAAAUUCAAAGUUUUGUAAACAGGAAAUUUAUAAAAAUGACCACAUAAUUGAUAUUCAUGCCAACACCGAAAUGUUGACUACUGGGCUGGUGAAACCCUCGGGAAAACAUUUAGAUGAUUUUAAGGAGUUAUGAACCACCCUAAGUGUUAUUUUAUUUUCGUUAAUCAAUAUCAUUUGUGUUACACUUAUGGAAACACGUUUGCAAUGUCAAAAAACUUCAUUCAUAUACAAAAAUAGUUACAGGAGUUUUUAAAACAUGUUUCAACAUUUAUAAAAUCAAGCUUUACCUAUAUCGUUUCUGAUUUUGUGAUUUUGGUAUGCUUAAUCAUUGACAUACUAUAUAUCCCCCAAUACUUUUUCAUAAUGAGUGAAAUCUUACUGUUGCUUUUAAGAUACAAAUUCAUAAGCUAGUUCCCGACUUACUGCUACAUGCACUGUAUCCAUUUAGUGUAGCGUAACACAAGUGGAUUCUAGAUUAUCUGUUUCACAGAUGACGACGGAUGCUUACAUUUUCGUUAUCAUUAUCCGUGAGGAUCUGCAUUCAUGGUUUUUGGACGUGUUUGUAUUGCUUAGUCAUAAUCUUUUAUGUUGAUUUUGUUUACAAAUGUUUGUCUUUUGUUUUUUAUUUGUCUUUCAACAUGGCAUAAGUGUGUUUUCUACUUUUGAGUAUCCUUUUGAAAUGUUUUGCCUCUUUUUAUUACAUGUUUAACGAACACAAAAAAAUCUAUAAUGACACUACUGAAGUUUCACUCGACUAUUUUAUUGAUGUCACCGUUUGAUUUCAUCAAUCUAUUCCAUGUUCUUUUAUUUUCAUCUUAUAGUUGACGUGUUUCAUAGUUUGUUCUCUGUAACAAUUGUUUUAAGAGAAUAAAGUAUUCAUUCAUUGGUUUGUAAUCCGGAUUUAUUUUCUCUCAAUCGAUUUAUUUAAUUUUUGAAUACUGAUAUACUGCUGUUGCCUUUAUUUACAUCUCACUCAAUCGUAACAGUUAAUAAACGUUUAAUUAUUGGUCACGAUCUACAUAAAAUAAAAAGUACACAUUGAAGGAUGGAUAAAAACGUUUAUAUGCCUGUACCAAGUCAGGAAUAUGACAGUUCUUGUCUAUUCCUUUUUCAUGUGUUUUGUCAUUGGAUUUUGCCAUGUGAUUAUGGACUCUCUGAUUUGAUUUUCCUCUGAGUUCAGUAUUUUUGUGAUUUUACUUUUUUCAUUCUUUUCCAGACCUGUUUAUUAUUGUUUUCGUUUUUUUUAUUAUUUCAUUAGUAAAAUUCGAUUAUGUCGCCAAAUGUUCUUGCUUUUAUCUGAAUUUCAACCAUCAAAUAUUGUGCAACACCAUAGACCAUGUUAAAUUUUAAAUAUGUCUCACAUUUUAGAUGUGAAAUUUUAAAUGUCCCAUGUUGAAACAAUAUCUAUCGCACUCAACAGUGUGGUAGAAUCUAUAAAGAAAAAUUAAAUAUGCAGAUAAUGUUGUACUAAACUACCUAAUAGUUUAUAUUGUCAAACUCUGUUUGUAUGUCACAAACGACAUAACCUGAUACCAAAAUAAAACUGUAUAUAGUUUAACUGAAAACAGAUAGCUUUGGGGUAAUUGUAUGAAACUCAUUCAUUGAAGCAAUAUAAGACAGUGCUAUAUUCUGUAAGAAGGGCAAAGAUUAUAUUUGUUACAUAUAUUCCGCAAUGGAGUAUAUUACGUGGACUUAGUAAGAUAACACAGAAACAACUGGAUUAUAUUUGACUCUAUAUUCAUAAUUGGUUAAUGACCUUUGAGAACUGAUUCAUAAAAUACAAUCAUACAUUGACUAAAAGCUUAUGAUGGGGAUUUUCUUUUUGUCCUGUUUUCCUUGCAUAUAAGUAUGAGUUGGUGGAUACUGAUGAAGCAAUCACUUAAAUGCGUUAACACAAAACUGGAAGUUUGGUGGCUUAAACACAAGGGGUCCAUAUAUUGACUGAUUUCAAUGAAGUCACUAUCACAUGUGACUUUUAUUAACCGUUUAAUUUUCAUUUUGGUCUACCAUCAUCAGGUUGAUGAUUUUCCCAUCCAAGUUCACAUAAAAACUAUUCAUGGUACUUUUUGUCCGUUUGUAUUAUCACUUAAGAUUUUAAGAGCGACGGUUGAAUCAGCGAUUGGCUGUAAGUGCAAACUUAUUGAGAUAUAUAGUAUUGAAGUUCAACUAUAUUUCAUUUGUUUAUCUUACUCAUUGUUGUUUUCAACUGACCUAUAUGACAUUGGAGAUAUUGGCAGACUUACGUACAAUUAUUCAACCGUAUAGAAGUAACUGCACCAAAUUCGCUUUACGACAAGCAAUGUCUAUUCAGUAUUAUAAAAACAAGAAAAUUUCAAAACUAAAAACCUAAUACGAACAUUUAUGAUGUGAUAUAAACACAAAUGACCAAAUGUGUAUUAUCAUUGUUGUUGAAACAUUGGAUGUGUUUUUAACGCAUGUUGUUAUAUCUUUUCAGAUUCCAACAUAGUUGUCAAUUGAUUUAAUGGAGGGAAGAACUGGCAUAAGGACAAUCAAUAUGCUAUUUGUACAGAUAAAUAAUCAGAUGCAGUUUAACAACAUUAUGUUAAUAAAAAUAGAAAUUGUU